This 501-nucleotide ribosomal RNA is filed under the name uncultured bacterium. RNAcentral's name for it is "partial 16S ribosomal RNA". It matches the Rfam family "Bacterial small subunit ribosomal RNA", at positions 29 to 523 of the family's 1533-position model. The record is from RNAcentral.
AUUGAACGCUGGCGGCAUGCCUUACACAUGCAAGUCGAACGGCAGCACGGGUGCUUGCACCUGGUGGCGAGUGGCGAACGGGUGAGUAAUACAUCGGAACGUACCUUAUCGUGGGGGAUAACGCAGCGAAAGCUGUGCUAAUACCGCAUACGCCCUGAGGGGGAAAGCGGGGGAUCGCAAGACCUCGCGCGAUUAGAGCGGCCGAUGCCUGAUUAGCUAGUUGGUGGGGUAAAAGCCCACCAAGGCGACGAUCAGUAGCUGGUCUGAGAGGACGAUCAGCCACACUGGGAAUGAGACACGGCCCAGACUCCUACGGGAGGAAGGAGUGGGGAAUUUUGGACAAUGGGGGCAACCCUGAUCCAGCAAUGCCGCGUGAGUGAAGAAGGCCUUCGGGUUGUAAAGCUCUUUUGUCAGGGAAGAAACACCGGCUCUAACACAGUCCGGGAAUGACGGUACCUGAAGAGUAAGCACCGGCUAACUACGUGCCAGCCGCCGCCGUAA